This 319-nucleotide unclassified non-coding RNA is filed under the name Hevea brasiliensis (rubber tree). The record is from RNAcentral. Lineage: Eukaryota; Viridiplantae; Streptophyta; Magnoliopsida; Malpighiales; Euphorbiaceae.
GGGGAUAAUAGUAGUGGGUUCAAAUGGUCAACCUUUGUAUAGAGAGAAAGAGAGAGAAAAUUUUCCUUCAUAAUUUCCAUGCCCCCGAGAUUCGUUUCUUUACUCAAUUCAUUCCUUUAAUUAACAAUUAUAGCUACUCACCCACCCACCCAAAAUAAAAAGUCCAACUCGUUCUCUUCCCCUUCUUAAAGAUCCUUUGCUCCCUCAUAUCUCUCAAACCAACUCUUCAUUCAUUUUCCUCUCUUCUUCUUCUUCUUUUCCUUCUUCAGCUCAUGGGUUGUCAUGAUGAUGGAUGCAACACUGGCCUUGUUCUAGGGUU